This 231-nucleotide ribosomal RNA is filed under the name Bacillus sp. 316M. RNAcentral's name for it is "partial 16S ribosomal RNA". It matches the Rfam family "Bacterial small subunit ribosomal RNA", at positions 128 to 352 of the family's 1533-position model. The record is from RNAcentral. Lineage: Bacteria; Bacillati; Bacillota; Bacilli; Caryophanales; Bacillaceae.
GCCUGUAAGACUGGGAUAACUCCGGGAAACCGGGGCUAAUACCGGAUAGUUCUUUUCCUCGCAUGAGGAAAAGUGGAAAGGCGGCUUCGGCUGCCACUUACAGAUGGACCCGCGGCGCAUUAGCUAGUUGGUGAGGUAACGGCUCACCAAGGCAACGAUGCGUAGCCGACCUGAGAGGGUGAUCGGCCACACUGGGACUGAGACACGGCCCAGACUCCUACGGGAGGCAGC